UGCUCACCAACAUACUGAGCUAACCCAUCCAUGAAUCAGGCUUGAGGUUUUUUUUCAUCAUUCAUCAGCUGGCUUCAAGCAUCUCCAUGAAGCCCUAGGGGUGAACUCAGGGAGAGGCACCAGUGUUAACAGUGACAAGAAAAAUGGGAAUUUGAGCCAUCUGUUCAUGGAACUUUCUUAAUCCCUCUAGACCUGUUUAGGCCAAAUUCUGAAUAUAGCAUUUCAAUCCAUGGAUUGUUGUCCACUCUAUGAUUCAGUGAAUUCAAAAAUACCCAGGUCAUCAUGAGAAGCUGAAGCCAUAGAGUUGUCUGAUGUCAUAUAAUUAGAUAUUCCUUCUCUAUUCUGACCCAGCAAUAGGCCAGAAGCUACUUUUCAAAUGGGAAGGAUAUUUUUGCUGUGGAAGGUAAGGCCUUCCUCCAGAACCUUAAAGACUUUCAUUGUGAGGCUGUUAGUAUAACCUACCACACACUCCACAGUAAUAUUAUAUUUCACUUUCUCACUAAAUUUUCUGAAUCAUAUUCCCAAGAGUCAAGGAGCUCACAUGACAGCCUGGACCUGCUGCAGGCAUUGGUAGUUAUGAAUAGCCACCCUGGUAUAUGAAUGACAUUCAGAAAUACUCCUAUUGUCCAAUCUACUAACUUAUCUAGUAAUGACAGUCCCGGGCUUGUGGUCAUAUCACCCUAUGAGAAUAUCUGAGUGAGGCCCAGAUUCCUGAUUGUCUGCAAACAGUGGCAGUUUUAAACCACUAAAUAUUGGGCCGCUCUUACCUGAAAGUGGCAUAUGUCACGUCUGUCUUCAUUUCAUGGGACUAAGGAAGUCACAGAGCCAACAAAGCACAAAUGCAUAAUCCCUCCAUAUGUACAGUGACGACAGGAAGAAACACUAGUUGGCAUGGUAAAGAAUUGUAGACCCUACCACAGUCCCUACACAACUAAAUAUUCAGAUCACCUGCUCAAUCUAAAUAAAGGUUUGCCAUAGUUGUUGUUGCUGUUGUUUAAAUGAGGCAAACUUUGAUAAAGCCAUUCCAGAGAUAAAAGCACAUUUAACAUAAUUUAUUGAGUACUUGUAAUUGAUGGUAACAUAAUGACUGAUUUAAAAGAACCAUUCAGCUCCUUUGAUAA
This 1121-nucleotide long non-coding RNA is filed under the name Homo sapiens (human). RNAcentral's name for it is "HSALNT0306136". Lineage: Eukaryota; Metazoa; Chordata; Mammalia; Primates; Hominidae. The record is from RNAcentral.